GGCUACUACAUCCAAGGAAGGCAGCAGGCGCGCAAAUUACCCAAUCCCGACGCGGGGAGGUAGUGACAAUAAAUACUGAUACAGGGCUCUUUUGGGUCUUGUAAUUGGAAUGAGUACAAUUUAAUUCCCUUAACGAGGAACAAUUGGAGGGCAAGUCUGGUGCCAGCAGCCGCGGUAAUUCCAGCUCCAAUAGCGUAUAUUAAAGUUGUUGCAGUUAAAAAGCUCGUAGUUGAACCUUGGGCCUGGCUGGCGGUCCGCCUCACCGCGUGCACUGGUCCGGCCGGGCCUUUCCCUCUGGGGAGCCGCAUGUCCUUCACUGGGCGUGUCGGGGAACCAGGACUUUUACUUUGAAAAAAUUAGAGUGUUCAAAGCAGGCUUAUGCUCGAAUACAUUAGCAUGGAAUAAUAGAAUAGGACGUGUGGUUCUAUUUUGUUGGUUUCUAGGACCGCCGUAAUGAUUAAUAGGGACAGUCGGGGGCAUCAGU
RNAcentral lists this ribosomal RNA (484 nucleotides) under Ophiostoma sp. UM237. RNAcentral's name for it is "SSU rRNA". It matches the Rfam family "Eukaryotic small subunit ribosomal RNA", at positions 405 to 895 of the family's 1831-position model. Lineage: Eukaryota; Fungi; Ascomycota; Sordariomycetes; Ophiostomatales; Ophiostomataceae. The record is from RNAcentral.